AGACCCCACCACACACACACAUACACAGAGAGAGAGCGAGGGAGAGAGACAGAGAGAGAGAGAGAGAGAGAGAGAGAGAUAGACUGCUGUGAAACAUGUGAUAGUGCAACUUUGGCGGGGCUUAGAGGGAGUUUAACGGCUGUAGUGUCUCCAGAGCUCUGGGAAAGCACCUUUAGCCCAGAGGGAGCCUCACAAGCUGUCUGUGUGUGUGUGUGUGUGUGUCUUUUUGUGCGUACGUGAAAGUGUGUGCUUCUGUGUGUGAGUGAGAGAGCCGGUUUUUCAGUGCUGCUGCUGUCACUUUAAGCCUGUUACUGAUUACACUCAGAAGAAUGCAACGGGAGGAGGCUAAAAAGACAGGGAAACAGAUGAGGAGACAUGUAAGGAUGAAAUCUCUCAGAAGCUGAGCUAUGGCGAGCUUUAUGUCACUUGCCCUCACGGUCCUGGGCAGUGACGUGGGUGAGACACCGUUACCCAACAUCGUCUCUCCCUCCCUCUCUCUCUCGUUCACUCUCUGUUGGACCAAGCAAAGUCAAAGUGAAAGGGAACCCGGAAUCCCUCUUUGAAGCAGAGACAGAGCGAGAGGACGCCCAGAAACACUGGGAAAAACUUAAAGAAAAGACACCAGAGAGGAAGAAAUUCGAGUGGAGGUUGAGGGAAGGGGUGUGCAUAUGUGGGGGGGUUCCCUCAUUCCAAACUCAGCGCUGGGAGGAAACACUACUCUCACCCAGACGGGUAAGUGAAAAAAGAAAGAAAAAAGAAAAGAAAGGGAAAAGAUUCCCAGAAAGUAGGGGAGCUGCUGCUGCUGCUGUUGAUGGAUAUCAUAUGUUACAAGUUAAGGUUGAGAAACUGCUCCCAGAUCCUUAAUAGGUGGAGAGGAAGAGCAGUCUGUAGGCUGUCGGCAAACUCUCACACAGCCUGAAGUAGUGAAGUUGUGCU
Long non-coding RNA from Astatotilapia calliptera (eastern happy), 936 nucleotides. Lineage: Eukaryota; Metazoa; Chordata; Actinopteri; Cichliformes; Cichlidae. The record is from Ensembl.